Non-coding RNA from Arachis ipaensis, 897 nucleotides. Lineage: Eukaryota; Viridiplantae; Streptophyta; Magnoliopsida; Fabales; Fabaceae. The record is from RefSeq and is a predicted model, not a curated record.
AUUAGAAACCCUAACCCCAACCAUUUCAAAAUUUUAUUGAUGCGCGAUUUACCCUUGUUUGUUCGAUUUCCUCAUCGUUGCUUGUGAAGUUGUGUUCCUCUCUGCUCGUGUCACCGUUGCGUUUGUCACUGUUCGCGCGCUAUCGUACUCGUCGCUACUCGCAUCGGCGCAUCGCCAUCGUACUCGUUUGCUAAUCGCAUCGUCGUCGUGUUCGUCGCUGCUCAGCAUUUCCUCAUCGUUGCUUCUGAAGUUGUGUUACUCACUGCUCGCGUUGCCGUCGUACUCGUCUCUGCUCGCGUGCCGUCGUGCUUGUUGCUGCUCGUGCGCCUUCGUACUCGUCGCUCUGCAUUUUGAGCUUCUGAAUUUUGCUCUGCUCGAUUCCAAUUUGCUCGCCUUCUUCUACUUGCAACGUUUUUCUUGGCCCCUGGCUGGGUGCUGAUAUGCUCUGCUCCCCCGUGGUGCUCGUACUCUUUCCAUCACAGAUAGGCUCCUUGCUUUACUCAGCUUUGUUAUGGCUGAAGUUGAUGAGAAAUUCUGUUGUUGUAGGUGUUGGAGUUGGCUGAAAAUGCUUCCGGUUCAGUCAAUUUGCUGCCAGGUUUUUCACAAUGCUUCCAAUUAUCUUCACUUUCUUUUUCUCUGCUUAACUGAACUUACUUCUUCAGGGAGGAGGAAGAGGUUGAUAGAUUCAGCAAAGUUCAAGAGAGUUUCUUGACUAGUUCUUCAACUCUCCGUAUACUUGAAUUCAUGAAUUAUGAGAAAAUCAACCCUCGAAUGUGCAGGAAUUCUACAACAUCACUAAAGAUACAUACACAAAAUCACAGUUACAAAUCUGAAAUAUUGGAGAUUCACGCUGUUGCUCCAAUUAUGCAUGUUCUCUUUGUGCCUGGGAACCCAGGU